This 206-nucleotide long non-coding RNA is filed under the name Gossypium barbadense (sea-island cotton). Its description in RNAcentral is "long non-coding RNA (GBAR_LNC021523)". The record is from RNAcentral. Lineage: Eukaryota; Viridiplantae; Streptophyta; Magnoliopsida; Malvales; Malvaceae.
UCGGGUUGGACUCAGGCAAGAAAAAUCUUGCCCAAUGUUCGACCCAUAUAGAAAACGGUCUUAAAUUUUACCUAAUCCCAUUUUUUCGAGCCUAUAUUUUGUCUAAACCCUCCCAUUUUUUAGGUGUCCUUCAAGCUUGGAUGGGUGGCUUGAAAAGUAAGAGGGUUUGGCUGAAAAUGGGUUUGGACAAAAAAUAAUGCUCGUUU